This 395-nucleotide long non-coding RNA is filed under the name Androctonus crassicauda. Lineage: Eukaryota; Metazoa; Arthropoda; Arachnida; Scorpiones; Buthidae. The record is from RNAcentral.
AGAGUAUCCAAGAAAUGAGGGAUUUUCUGCCAGUGCCGCACCACCUAACAAAGCUGAAUGUUGUGAAGGAAAUAGCCAGAAAGAAGAAGAAAACAGUGGCGUGUGAAAGAAAUCCCACAAUAUUCAAUAUGCUGAGAAAUGAGAAAGAAAAAAGGCAGCAGAAUCAUAAAAAUGGUGUUUAUAAAAUCCCUCUGGUGGAUAAUAGCACGGCAGAGCAAUUAGCAUACAUAGGGGUGAAACGAGGUCGAUAAAGAAAUGAGUCAGAGAGCAUAAGAAAGAUAUUUCGCAGGCAAAGCUUAACACAGCAUGAAUUAUACAGAGCACUAUGGCAAGAAAACACAUAAUAAGAAACUUGUAUUCAAUUUUAAAGUCAAUUUUAAAGGAGCGCUUUCGAU